This 347-nucleotide ribosomal RNA is filed under the name uncultured bacterium. RNAcentral describes it as "bacterial SSU rRNA". It matches the Rfam family "Bacterial small subunit ribosomal RNA", at positions 32 to 359 of the family's 1533-position model. The record is from RNAcentral.
AAUCAACGCUGGCGGCGUGCCUCAGACAUGCAAGUCGAACGCUGCUGUUCGCCUUCGGGUGGACAGCGGAGUGGCGCACGGGUGAGUAACACGUAGGUAAUCUACCUUUGGGUGGGAUAACGGCCGGAACGGCUGCUAAUACCGCAUAAUGCAGCGGCAUCACAUGAUGACAGUUGUUAAAGCGAGGGAUCGUAAGACCUCGCGCCUGAAGAGGAGCCUGCGGCAGAUUAGGUAGUUGGUGAGGUAAUGGCUCACCAAGCCUGCGAUCUGUAACCGGCCUGAGGAGGGCGGUCGGUCACACUGACACUGACAUACGGGUCAGACUCCUACGGGAGGCAGCAGUCGGG